This 256-nucleotide long non-coding RNA is filed under the name Sorghum bicolor (sorghum). RNAcentral describes it as "long non-coding RNA (SBIC_LNC005585)". The record is from RNAcentral. Lineage: Eukaryota; Viridiplantae; Streptophyta; Magnoliopsida; Poales; Poaceae.
AAAUUAGGAUCCUGGAGAAAAGGAAGGGACGACAUGAAACAGGAUGGAUCGGGCGAUUAAUUAGCUAGACUAGAUUGAGAUGGCGCUGGUGACGCGCGGGUACACGACGGUGGCCGGGUGCGCCAUGAUGCGGCGUCCCUUGCGGUGGCGGAACAGGUACACUGCUGCCCCCAGCGGCCACUCGAUGACCCCGGCCACCACGAACGCCGCGAACCCCAGCGUCGGUCCGACCACCUUGCACCGGCACGGGUUGCUC